UACGUAGGGGGCGAGCGUUGUCCGGAUUUAUUGGGCGUAAAGAGCGUGUAGGCGGCCAGGUAGGUCUGCUGUGAAAACUCGAGGCUCAACCUCGAGACGUCGGCGGAAACCAUCUGGCUAGAGUCCGGAAGAGGAGAGUGGAAUUCCUGGUGUAGCGGUGAAAUGCGCAGAUAUCAGGAGGAACACCGAUGGCGAAGGCAGGUCUCUGGGCAUUAACUGACGCUGAGGAGCGAAAGCAUGGGGAGCGAACAGG
RNAcentral lists this ribosomal RNA (253 nucleotides) under uncultured bacterium. Its description in RNAcentral is "partial 16S ribosomal RNA". It matches the Rfam family "Bacterial small subunit ribosomal RNA", at positions 524 to 776 of the family's 1533-position model. The record is from RNAcentral.